RNAcentral lists this unclassified non-coding RNA (375 nucleotides) under Hevea brasiliensis (rubber tree). The record is from RNAcentral. Lineage: Eukaryota; Viridiplantae; Streptophyta; Magnoliopsida; Malpighiales; Euphorbiaceae.
GUCGUAUUGAAGGAAGCUGAGGAGAUUGAUAGGAAGAUUGCGGAGAAUGAGGAAUUGGGUCCGCUUGCUGGGGUUUUGGUUGGGGUUAAGGAUAAUAUUUGUACUUCUGAUAUGCCAUCAACUGCAGGGUCAAAGAUUUUGGAAAAUUAUCGACCCCCUUUUGAUGCUACUGCUGUUGGGAAGAUGAAAAAGUGUGGUGCAAUUGUUAUUGGGAAAACGAAUAUGGAUGAAUUUGGUAUGGGGAGUACUACGGAAGGCUCGGGUUAUCAGGUGACAGCUAAUCCUUGGGAUUUGUCCCGGGUACCAGGUGGUUCAUCAGGGGGCUCAGCUGCAGCUGUUUCUGCUAGACAAUGUAUGGUGUCAUUGGGAAGUGAU